RNAcentral lists this ribosomal RNA (225 nucleotides) under uncultured bacterium. RNAcentral's name for it is "partial 16S ribosomal RNA". It matches the Rfam family "Bacterial small subunit ribosomal RNA", at positions 524 to 744 of the family's 1533-position model. The record is from RNAcentral.
UACAGAGGUCCCAAGCGUUGUUCGGAUUCACUGGGCGUAAAGGGUGCGUAGGUGGUGAGGUAAGUCGGAUGUGAAAUCUCCGAGCCUCAACUCGGAAAUGGCAUUGGAAACUACCUUGCUCGAGGGUUGGGAGGGGGGACUGGAAUGCUUGGUGUAGCAGUCGAAAUGCGUAGAUAUCAAGCGGAACACCAGUGGCGAAGGCGAGUCCCUGGGACAACUCCUGAC